UACGGAGGGUGCAAGCGUUAAUCGGAAUUACUGGGCGUAAAGCGCACGCAGGCGGUUGGACAAGUUAGAAGUGAAAGCCCCGGGCUCAACCUUGGAAAUGUAUUUAAAACUGUCAGGCUAGAGUCUUGUAGGGGGGGGUAGAAUUCCAGGUGUAGCGGUGAAAUGCGUAGAGAUCUGGAGGAAUACCGGUGGCGAAGGCGGCCCCCUGGACAAAGACUGACGCUCAGGUGCGAAAGCGUGGGUAGCAAACAGG
This 253-nucleotide ribosomal RNA is filed under the name uncultured bacterium. RNAcentral's name for it is "partial 16S ribosomal RNA". It matches the Rfam family "Bacterial small subunit ribosomal RNA", at positions 524 to 776 of the family's 1533-position model. The record is from RNAcentral.